GCCCUUUUAGUUUAAAGGUUAAGACACCGUCUUUUCACGACGAUAAUAUGAGUUCGAUUCUCAUAAAGGGUA
RNAcentral lists this transfer RNA (72 nucleotides) under Storeatula sp. CCMP1868. RNAcentral describes it as "tRNA-Glu". It matches the Rfam family "tRNA". From Rfam's summary of the family: Transfer RNA (tRNA) molecules are approximately 80 nucleotides in length. Their secondary structure includes four short double-helical elements and three loops (D, anti-codon, and T loops). The record is from RNAcentral. Lineage: Eukaryota; Cryptophyceae; Pyrenomonadales; Pyrenomonadaceae.